RNAcentral lists this long non-coding RNA (233 nucleotides) under Sorghum bicolor (sorghum). Its description in RNAcentral is "long non-coding RNA (SBIC_LNC011030)". Lineage: Eukaryota; Viridiplantae; Streptophyta; Magnoliopsida; Poales; Poaceae. The record is from RNAcentral.
CGCGGCAUGUUAAUAUCUCUAUGUAAACCCGACGUGUGGGCCUUUCUUCCAUAUUUCCUGAUAACCCCCUACAGAAAUAGACAAACACCAAAACUCAUGGAAUUCUGUCAGAUAAAACCCUAAGUCUGGGUGUCAAUUGCAUUUGGAUCCUUUUCUUUAUUUAUUUGCUGAUUAUAUUUGAUACUUAAGGACCGUCAACACUAACUCCUACUACUCAGACAAAGUAUACGACC